This is a long non-coding RNA of Alosa sapidissima (American shad), 125 nucleotides long. RefSeq lists it as uncharacterized. NCBI's taxonomy places the organism in Eukaryota, Metazoa, Chordata, Actinopteri, Clupeiformes, Clupeidae. The transcript has 3 exons. The record is from RefSeq and is a predicted model, not a curated record.
GUGUGAGAGAGUGUGUGUGUGUGUGCGUGAGAGAGAGACAAAAAAACAGAGAGAGAGAGAGAGAGAGAGAGAGAGAAUGUUGGUUAAGAGUGGCCACCUCUAGCUGGGACAUUGCUUGUGGGUGC